Molecule: ribosomal RNA, 468 nt
Filed under: uncultured bacterium
Lineage: Bacteria
Description: partial 16S ribosomal RNA
Rfam family: Bacterial small subunit ribosomal RNA
Source: RNAcentral
GACGAACGCUGGCGGCGUGCUUAACACAUGCAAGUCGAACGGAAAGGCCUUGCUUUUGUGGGGUGCUCGAGUGGCGAACGGGUGAGUAACACGUGAGUAACCUGCCCUUGACUUUGGGAUAACUUCAGGAAACUGGGGCUAAUACCGGAUAGGAGCUCCUGCUGCAUGGUGGGGGUUGGAAAGUUUCGGCGGUUGGGGAUGGACUCGCGGCUUAUCAGCUUGUUGGUGGGGUAGUGGCUUACCAAGGCUUUGACGGGUAGCCGGCCUGAGAGGGUGACCGGCCACAUUGGGACUGAGAUACGGCCCAGACUCCUACAGGAGGCAGCAGUGGGGAAUAUUGCACAAUGGGCGGAAGCCUGAUGCAGCAACGCCGCGUGCGGGAUGACGGCCUUCGGGUUGUAAACCGCUUUCGCCUGUGACGAAGCGUGAGUGACGGUAAUGGGUAAAGAAGCACCGGCUAACUACGUG